Molecule: non-coding RNA, 29 nt
Filed under: Mus musculus (house mouse)
Lineage: Eukaryota; Metazoa; Chordata; Mammalia; Rodentia; Muridae
Source: RNAcentral
UCAGUAGGACCACCUAAAGUAGGCCCGGG